Molecule: ribosomal RNA, 237 nt
Filed under: uncultured bacterium
Lineage: Bacteria
Description: partial 16S ribosomal RNA
Rfam family: Bacterial small subunit ribosomal RNA
Source: RNAcentral
UGAGCAAUCUGCCCUUCUCAUCGGAAUAAGCGUUGGAAACGACGUCUAAUGCCGAAUACGACCUCCUUUCGCAUGAUCGGAGGUGGAAAGCUCCGGCGGUCAAGGAUGGGCUCGCGGCCUAUCAGCUUGUUGGUGAGGUAACGGCUCACCAAGGCUUCGACGGGUAGCCGGCCUGAGAGGGCGACCGGCCACACUGGGACUGAGAUACGGCCCAGACCUCCGUACGGGGAGGNAGCG